UUGCAUUUGAAGCCCAUGAGGAUGAGAACCUCCGGGGGCGGGGAGGUUCGACUCGAGCGAAGCGAGAGAACGUUGCGCCAGCAACGGCCCGCAGGGCGAGCCACGA
Molecule: small RNA, 106 nt
Filed under: Escherichia coli
Lineage: Bacteria; Pseudomonadati; Pseudomonadota; Gammaproteobacteria; Enterobacterales; Enterobacteriaceae
Also listed under: 1 other name
Description: partial RtT sRNA
Rfam family: RtT RNA
About the family: This family represents a bacterial cis-regulatory element known as RtT RNA. The exact function of RtT is unknown although it is thought that it may be involved in changing the cellular response in relation to amino acid starvation.
Source: RNAcentral